UGGAAGCCUUGUUUUCACAUAGCAUUGUCUAAAUACAAAAAUGUUUUGUUAACUUCAGGUUUUAUUUGAUGUAAAUAUCUCUUCCGUUCCGCUAUUUAUCGACAAUGAGUUGUACAUUUAGGGAAGCAGCUUUUAGUUUUCAGGGUGGUUGUCGAGAAGAAAAUGGCAACGUGUAGAUUCAGGGGGUUUUGAGAGAGUUGUUUAUAGCUUUUGGCAUAUUGAUUUGAUCUUGUGUUCCAUUAUUUCAAGUCUCCCGUAUAUUCUGGUGGAUGGCUGUAUUUGAAAAUUUUGUGCAGUUGAUGAAGUGGGGAAGUAAAAAAAAAAAGGAAAAGUGAACUUUUCUUCGGCUCUAUAAUGGGUUAUGAGGAAAAAUACAAAAUUUGACUGGAAUAAAUUCAUUGGCCAGGAAUUGCUCUGUUA
Carica papaya (papaya) is the source of this 420-nucleotide non-coding RNA. The record is from RefSeq and is a predicted model, not a curated record. NCBI's taxonomy places the organism in Eukaryota, Viridiplantae, Streptophyta, Magnoliopsida, Brassicales, Caricaceae.